UAUUAGAAAGAAUACCAAUUGCGAAGGCAGCUUUCUGGAUCAUUACUGACACUGAGGAACGAAAGCAUGGGUAGCGAAGAGGAUUAGAUACCCUCGUAGUCCAUGCCGUAAACGAUGUGUGUUAGACGUUGGAAAUUUAUUUUCAGUGUCGCAGCGAAAGCGAUAAACACACCGCCUGGGGAGUACGACCGCAAGGUUAAAACUCAAAUGAAUUGACGGGGACCCGCACAAGUAGUGGAGCAUGUGGUUUAAUUCGAAGAUACGCGCAGAACCUUACCAACACUUGACAUGUUCGUCGCGACUCUAAGAGAUUAGAGUUUUCGGUUCGGCCGGACGAAACACAGGUGCUGCAUGGCUGUCGUCAGCUCGUGUCGUGAGAUGUUGGGUUAAGUCCCGCAACGAGCGCAACCCUCACUUUUAGUUGCCAUCAUUAAGUUGGGCACUCUGAAAGAACUGCCAGUGAUAAGCUGGAGGAAGGUGGGGAUGACGUCAAGUCCUCAUGGCCCUUACGUGUUGGGCUACACACGUGCUACAAUGGUAUCUACAACAGGAAGCAAAACCGCGAGGUUAAGCAAAUCCUUAAAAGAUGCCUCAGUUCGGAUUGCACUCUGCAACUCGAGUGCAUGAAGCUGGAAUUACUAGUAAUCGUGGAUCAGCGUGCCACGGUGAAUGCGUUCCCGGGCCUUGUACACACCGCCCA
This 700-nucleotide ribosomal RNA is filed under the name uncultured bacterium. RNAcentral's name for it is "bacterial SSU rRNA". It matches the Rfam family "Bacterial small subunit ribosomal RNA", at positions 695 to 1396 of the family's 1533-position model. The record is from RNAcentral.